CGGCACAUAUCGCUUCCUCAUGAUCUUUUUCAUCUCCGUCCAUGUAUCAACCAUUGGCUCUUCAUUUCUUGCUCUCUCCUUUUGUAGCUUGUUCCACCACACAAGAGCAUAGUCGGAAAACUCCGUGGCGGCAAGCUUCACCUUCUGGUCUUCCUCAUAGUUGUUGCAUGAGAAAACAUGGUCUAUUUUCAUCUCCCACUCCAAGUAGGCCUCCGGAUCAUUCUUUCCUUUAAAUGGAGGAAUGUUGAGUUUAAUACCAUCAAUUCGGUUUUGUCUAGGAACACCAUCAUUCCCUCUUCUCCUCCUUUCUUCUUCAUUAUGAUCUCUAUU
This 330-nucleotide long non-coding RNA is filed under the name Glycine max (soybean). Its description in RNAcentral is "long non-coding RNA (GMAX_LNC001788)". Lineage: Eukaryota; Viridiplantae; Streptophyta; Magnoliopsida; Fabales; Fabaceae. The record is from RNAcentral.